GGAUCUCUUAAAGACUGUUCUCAGUUCGGACUGCAGUCUGCAACUCGACUGCACGAAGCUGGAAUCGCUAGUAAUCGCGGAUCAGCACGCCGCGGUGAAUACGUUCCCGGGCCUUGUACACACCACCCGUCACACCAUGGAAGUCUGCAAUGCCCGAAGCCGGUGGCCUAACCACUUAUGUGGAAGGAGCCGUCUAAGGCAGGGCAGAUGACUGGGGUGAAGUCGUAACAAGGUACC
This 237-nucleotide ribosomal RNA is filed under the name uncultured bacterium. Its description in RNAcentral is "partial 16S ribosomal RNA". It matches the Rfam family "Bacterial small subunit ribosomal RNA", at positions 1269 to 1500 of the family's 1533-position model. The record is from RNAcentral.